Molecule: ribosomal RNA, 460 nt
Filed under: uncultured bacterium
Lineage: Bacteria
Description: partial 16S ribosomal RNA
Rfam family: Bacterial small subunit ribosomal RNA
Source: RNAcentral
CCUACGUGAGGCAGCAGUGAGGAAUAUUGGUCAAUCGGCGCGAGCCUGAACCAGCCAAGUAGCGUGAAGGAUGACUGCCCUACGGGUUGUAAACUUCUUUUAUAAAGGAAUAAAGUUAGGCACGUGUGCCUUUUUGUAUGUACUUUAUGAAUAAGGAUCGGCUAACUCCGUGCCAGCAGCCGCGGUAAUACGGAGGAUCCGAGCGUUAUCCGGAUUUAUUGGGUUUAAAGGGAGCGUAGAUGGGUUGUUAAGUCAGUGGUGAAAGUUUGCGGCUCAACCGUAAAAUUGCAAUUGAUACUGGCAGUCUUGAGUACAGUUGAGGUAGGCGGAAUUCGUGGUGUAGCGGUGAAAUGCUUAGAUAUCACGAAGAACUCCGAUUGCGAAGGCAGCUUACUAAACUGCCACUGACAUUGAUGCUCGAAAGUGUGGGUAUCAAACAGGAUUAGAUACCCCAGUAGUC